This 402-nucleotide unclassified non-coding RNA is filed under the name soil metagenome. Its description in RNAcentral is "partial contains 5.8S ribosomal RNA, internal transcribed spacer 2, and large subunit ribosomal RNA". The stretch from base 1 to 121 matches the Rfam family "5.8S ribosomal RNA", at positions 35 to 154 of the family's 154-position model. The record is from RNAcentral.
GAUGAAGAACGUAGCGAAAUGCGAUAAGUAAUGUGAAUUGCAGAAUUCAGUGAAUCAUCGAAUCUUUGAACGCACCUUGCGCCCUUUGGCUAUUCCGAAGGGCAUGCCUGUUUGAGUAUCGUGAACACCUCAAUUCUCAUGGUUUGCCAUGAUGAGCUUGGACUUUGGGGGUUUUGCUGGCCUUUGGUCGGCUCCUCUCAAACGGAUCAGCUUUCCAGUGUUUGGUGGCGUCACGGGUGUGAUAACUAUCUACGCCUGUGGUUUUCUGCCAGAUAACCUUCAGCGAUGGAGGUUCGCUGGGGCUCAUAAAUGUCUCUCUUCAGUGGAGACAGCUUUUUGGACGUUUGAUCUCAAAUCAGGUAGGACUACCCGCUGAACUUAAGCAUAUCAAUAAGCGGAGGA